This 63-nucleotide transfer RNA is filed under the name Stephanitis chinensis. RNAcentral describes it as "tRNA-His". Lineage: Eukaryota; Metazoa; Arthropoda; Insecta; Hemiptera; Tingidae. The record is from RNAcentral.
AUCUAAGUAGUUUAUUUAGAAUAUUAAUUUGUGGUGUUAAAGGUGAAUUAUUUUCUUUAGAUC